Molecule: ribosomal RNA, 386 nt
Filed under: uncultured bacterium
Lineage: Bacteria
Description: bacterial SSU rRNA
Rfam family: Bacterial small subunit ribosomal RNA
Source: RNAcentral
AUUGAACGCUGGCGGCAUGCCUUACGCAUGCAAGUCGAACGGCAGCGCGGGGCAACCUGGCGGCGAGUGGCGAACGGGUGAGUAAUAUAUCGGAACAUACCCUAGAGUGGGGGAUAACGUAGCGAAAGUUACGCUAAUACCGCAUACGCACUAAGGUGGAAAGUGGGGGAUUCGCAAGAACCUCAUGCUCAUGGAGUGGCCGAUAUCUGAUUAGCUAGUUGGUGAGGUAAAGGCUCACCAAGGCGACGAUCAGUAGCUGGUUUGAGAGAACGACCAGCCACACUGGAACUGAGACACGGUCCAGACUCCUACGUGAGGCAGCAGUGGGGAAUUUUGGACAAUGGGGGCAAGCCUGAUCCAGCAAUGCCGCGUGAGUGAAGAAGGCC